This 76-nucleotide transfer RNA is filed under the name Deltaproteobacteria bacterium. Its description in RNAcentral is "tRNA-Lys". It matches the Rfam family "tRNA". From Rfam's summary of the family: Transfer RNA (tRNA) molecules are approximately 80 nucleotides in length. Their secondary structure includes four short double-helical elements and three loops (D, anti-codon, and T loops). The record is from RNAcentral. Lineage: Bacteria; Pseudomonadati; Myxococcota; Myxococcia.
GGGCCGUUAACUCAGCUGGCAGAGUAACAGAUUUUUAAUCUGGAGGUCAUUGGUUCGAUUCCAAUACGGCCCACCA